This 77-nucleotide transfer RNA is filed under the name Ruminococcus sp. CAG:60. RNAcentral's name for it is "transfer RNA-Pro(CGG)". It matches the Rfam family "tRNA". Rfam says of the family: Transfer RNA (tRNA) molecules are approximately 80 nucleotides in length. Their secondary structure includes four short double-helical elements and three loops (D, anti-codon, and T loops). Lineage: Bacteria; Bacillati; Bacillota; Clostridia; Eubacteriales; Oscillospiraceae. The record is from RNAcentral. RNAcentral also lists the same sequence under 2 other names.
CGAAGUGUGGCUCAGUUUGGUAGAGCGCUGCGUUCGGGACGCAGAGGUCGUGGGUUCGAAUCCCGUCACUUCGACUA